Molecule: ribosomal RNA, 582 nt
Filed under: Triticum aestivum (bread wheat)
Lineage: Eukaryota; Viridiplantae; Streptophyta; Magnoliopsida; Poales; Poaceae
Description: partial small subunit ribosomal RNA
Source: RNAcentral
AUGGUCGAGGGGUCUGCCUUAGAGAUCUCCAACCUGAAGUUCCUUCUUCUGUGCUUCCAACAAAUGUCGGGCCUCACCAUCAACUUUGAUAAGAGCGAAGUGAUGGUGCUCGGUUACCCCUCUGAGGACGCACAGUCCAUUGCCGACCGGCUUAACUGUCGGCUAGGUUCUUUCCCCACGACCUAUCCGGGGAUCCCCAUUAGUGACUCGCGCCUCACCGUGGCGGACCUCCGCCCCACGGUGACCCGUAUGCAACAUCGCGUAGAGCCCUGGAAAGGGCGUUGGCUAUCGAAGGCGGCGCGCGCGAUCCUUAUCAACUCAUCGCUAGCCAGCCUCCUGUGGUUCCUUAUGAGCUUCUAUAGCCUUCAUGAAACGCUCCAUAAGGAGGUCGCCAAAUACCAGUCCAGAUUCUUCUGGGCUGGGGAGGAGGGCAAGCAGAAAUACCACAUGGUCAGCUGGCCAGACAUCUGCAAACCCAAAGACCAGGGCGGUCUUGGGAUUCUGUCCUCUCGGCGCAUGAACAUCGCCCUCUUGAGCCGCUGGCUCUGGCGCAUCGCCAAUGGGGACGGUGGCCUCUGGCUU